CUACGGGCGGCUGCAGUGGGGAAUAUUGCACAAUGGGCGCAAGCCUGAUGCAGCCAUGCCGCGUGUAUGAAGAAGGCCUUCGGGUUGUAAAGUACUUUCAGCGGGGAGGAAGGGAGUAAAGUUAAUACCUUUGCUCAUUGACGUUACCCGCAGAAGAAGCACCGGCUAACUCCGUGCCAGCAGCCGCGGUAAUACGGAGGGUGCAAGCGUUAAUCGGAAUUACUGGGCGUAAAGCGCACGCAGGCGGUUUGUUAAGUCAGAUGUGAAAUCCCCGGGCUCGACCUGGGAACUGCAUCUGAUACUGGCAAGCUAGAGUCUCGUAGAGGGGGGUAGAAUUCCAGGUGUAGCGGUGAAAUGCGUAGAGAUCUGGAGGAAUACCGGUGGCGAAGGCGGCCCCCUGGACGAAGACUGACGCUCAGGUGCGAAAGCGUGGGGAGCAAACAGGAUUAGAUACCCUUGUAGUC
This 464-nucleotide ribosomal RNA is filed under the name uncultured bacterium. Its description in RNAcentral is "partial 16S ribosomal RNA". It matches the Rfam family "Bacterial small subunit ribosomal RNA", at positions 339 to 795 of the family's 1533-position model. The record is from RNAcentral.